UACGUAGGGGGCUAGCGUUGUCCGGAUUUAUUGGGCGUAAAGAGCGUGUAGGCGGCCAGGUAGGUCUGCUGUGAAAACUCGAGGCUCAACCUCGAGACGUCGGCGGAAACCAUCUGGCUAGAGUCCGGAAGAGGAGAGUGGAAUUCCUGGUGUAGCGGUGAAAUGCGUAGAUAUCGGGAGGAACACCUGAGGCGAAGGCGGGCUACUGGGCUGAUACUGACGCUGAGGCGCGAAAGCCAGGGGAGCAAACGGG
Molecule: ribosomal RNA, 253 nt
Filed under: uncultured bacterium
Lineage: Bacteria
Description: partial 16S ribosomal RNA
Rfam family: Bacterial small subunit ribosomal RNA
Source: RNAcentral